This 66-nucleotide transfer RNA is filed under the name Posthodiplostomum centrarchi. RNAcentral describes it as "tRNA-Ile". The record is from RNAcentral. Lineage: Eukaryota; Metazoa; Platyhelminthes; Trematoda; Diplostomida; Diplostomidae.
GCUGAUAGGGCUGCUAAGCAGGCUAUUUUGAUAUAAUAGUGCGUGGAGAAAAAUCUUUCGUCAGUA